Molecule: long non-coding RNA, 901 nt
Filed under: Danio rerio (zebrafish)
Lineage: Eukaryota; Metazoa; Chordata; Actinopteri; Cypriniformes; Danionidae
Description: lncRNA linc-pde4ba (ENSDARG00000097226.2)
Source: RNAcentral
CAGGCUACAAUAAAUGACUCACGCAGCAACGGACAAAUGUUCUGUUUGCACCAAUGCCUGAAGACGAAUAUAAAAUAAGUGCAGUAAACCGAGCAUUCAUCCUCCCAUCCAGGGACUAAAUCACACGCAUCCCACGUCUCAGUGUAUAUAAGCGCUCUCAUACUGGAGAUCCUCCUCUGCUUUGACAGGCGCUGAACGCUCAGCCUCUAGUACGAAAGCGCGAGCCCGGCGCACGUCAAAACCGCCCGCAUCUUUCCAAAGCAAGACCGAAACCGAAUCCCAGCAUCUUUUUUUGGUUGCUGUCCGAGGGUUCUCGUUUGUGCAGCGAGCUCCUAGACCAGUUCGGACUGUCUAAAAGCGGCUAGUGUUGAAGGACAGAAGAGGAGCUGGUUUCGAUAGCGGGACAAAAGAUGCUGCUUGGUCUUCAGUGACGGUUCUGGUCCACCUUAUGGGUUUUACACACAGAAACACAGCACUGCACUCGUGUUCUUGGUCACGAGUUUAAAACGGGAUCCGUUUGUGCUUCUUUUGUCUCCCACGUGCGAAAAAGUGGAUCCGAAUUUGAGGAGUGUCAGCGGAGCAGGCCUGUGCAAGACAGGGAGAGGAAAACUUCACAGAAGAUGAGGAAGAGCCGGAGUGUUCUAACUGUGUCACCUAAUGAGGAUAGUAAAGAGCCACCGGAUAGCAGACUGAGUGAGUCUUUCACCUCUUCAGGUUGUACACUGGGGGUGGACCUGCGGCGACGACGACGGCGGUUUUCUGGUAACUUACAGUUGCCUCCUUUAUCAUGGAGGCAGAUGGAGAGGUCACGCAGUCCAGAUGACGAAUUCAUGGCAAGACCAACUACCCUGCCCUUCAUCACACCCCCGCGCAUCGAUAUCACGCCUGUGGACACCGAGUG